RNAcentral lists this transfer RNA (77 nucleotides) under Rickettsiales bacterium. RNAcentral describes it as "tRNA-Met". It matches the Rfam family "tRNA". From Rfam's summary of the family: Transfer RNA (tRNA) molecules are approximately 80 nucleotides in length. Their secondary structure includes four short double-helical elements and three loops (D, anti-codon, and T loops). Further hydrogen bonds mediate the characteristic L-shaped molecular structure. tRNAs have two regions of fundamental functional importance: the anti-codon, which is responsible for specific mRNA codon recognition, and the 3' end, to which the tRNAs corresponding amino acid is attached (by aminoacyl-tRNA synthetases). tRNAs cope with the degeneracy of the genetic code in two manners: having more than one tRNA (with a specific anti-codon) for a particular amino acid; and 'wobble' base-pairing, i.e. permitting non-standard base-pairing at the 3rd anti-codon position. The record is from RNAcentral. Lineage: Bacteria; Pseudomonadati; Pseudomonadota; Alphaproteobacteria; Rickettsiales.
GGGCCCAUAGCUCAGCUGGUUAGAGCACUUGACUCAUAAUCAAGGGGUCCCUGGUUCGAGCCCAGGUGGGCCCACCC